GACAGAGGGUGCAAACGUUGUUCGGAAUUACUGGGCGUAAAGCGCGUGUAGGCGGCUAAGUAAGUCGGGCGUGAAAUCCCACGGCUCAACCGUGGAAGUGCACUCGAAACUGCAUAGCUAGAGUCCUGGAGAGGAAGGUGGAAUGCUUGGUGUAGAGGUGAAAUUCGUAGAUAUCAAGCGGAAACACCGGGUGGCGAAGGCGGCCUUCUGGACAGUGACGUGACGCUGAGACGCGAAAGCGUGGGGAGCAAACAGGG
Molecule: ribosomal RNA, 257 nt
Filed under: uncultured bacterium
Lineage: Bacteria
Description: partial 16S ribosomal RNA
Rfam family: Bacterial small subunit ribosomal RNA
Source: RNAcentral